RNAcentral lists this ribosomal RNA (383 nucleotides) under uncultured bacterium. RNAcentral's name for it is "bacterial SSU rRNA". It matches the Rfam family "Bacterial small subunit ribosomal RNA", at positions 397 to 773 of the family's 1533-position model. The record is from RNAcentral.
CCGCGUGAGUGAAGAAGGCCCUCGGGUUGUAAAGCUCUCUUGUCAGGCAAGAAACACCGGCUCUAACACAGUCCGGGAAUGACGGUACCUGAAGAAUAAGCACCGGCUAACUACGUGCCAGCAGCCGCGGUAAUACGUAGGGUGCGAGCGUUAAUCGGAAUUACUGGGCGUAAAGCGUGCGCAGGCGGUUAUACAAGACAGGCGUGAAAUCCCCGGGCUUAACCUGGGAAUGGCGCCUGUGACUGUAUAGCUAGAGUGUGUCAGAGGGGGGUAGAAUUCCACGUGUAGCAGUGAAAUGCGUAGAUAUGUGGAGGAAUACCAAUGGCGAAGGCAGCCCCCUGGGAUAACACUGACGCUCAUGCACGAAAGCGUGGGGAGCAAAC